UACAGAGGUCUCAAGCGUUGUUCGGAUUCAUUGGGCGUAAAGGGCGCGUAGGCGGCGGGGUAAGUCGGGUGUGAAAUCUCAGAGCUCAACUCUGAAACUGCACUCGAUACUGCUCUGCUUGAGGACUGGAGAGGAGACUGGAAUUCACGGUGUAGCAGUGAAAUGCGUAGAUAUCGUGAGGAAGACCAGUGGCGAAGGCGGGUCUCUGGGCAGUAACUGACGCUGAGGAGCGAAAGCGUGGGGAGCGAACAGG
This 253-nucleotide ribosomal RNA is filed under the name uncultured bacterium. RNAcentral describes it as "partial 16S ribosomal RNA". It matches the Rfam family "Bacterial small subunit ribosomal RNA", at positions 524 to 776 of the family's 1533-position model. The record is from RNAcentral.